Caenorhabditis elegans is the source of this 225-nucleotide non-coding RNA. NCBI's taxonomy places the organism in Eukaryota, Metazoa, Nematoda, Chromadorea, Rhabditida, Rhabditidae. The record is from Ensembl.
UCGCAUGUCGGCUUGAUCUACGUAGAUCUAAAAAAAAUGCGGGAGAAGAGACGCAGAGUUUUCGACUGAUGUUAAUGAUUAAGAACGUGCUGACGUCACAUUUGUUUGGACAAAAAAUUCCCGCAUUUUUGUAGAUCAAACCGUGAUGGGACAGCGCGGCACCACGUGAAAAAGCCAAAAAUCAAUAUUUUCCGAGAUAAUUUUUGAAAUUCUCGCCGACCGUGA